Molecule: ribosomal RNA, 766 nt
Filed under: uncultured bacterium
Lineage: Bacteria
Description: bacterial SSU rRNA
Rfam family: Bacterial small subunit ribosomal RNA
Source: RNAcentral
GGCAGACUAGAGUGCAGUAGGGGAGACUGGAAUUCCUGGUGUAGCGGUGGAAUGCGCAGAUAUCAGGAGGAACACCGAUGGCGAAGGCAGGUCUCUGGGCUGUAACUGACGCUGAGGAGCGAAAGCAUGGGGAGCGAACAGGAUUAGAUACCCUGGUAGUCCAUGCCGUAAACGUUGGGCACUAGGUGUGGGGACCAUUCCACGGUUUCCGCGCCGCAGCUAACGCAUUAAGUGCCCCGCCUGGGGAGUACGGCCGCAAGGCUAAAACUCAAAGGAAUUGACGGGGGCCCGCACAAGCGGCGGAGCAUGCGGAUUAAUUCGAUGCAACGCGAAGAACCUUACCAAGGCUUGACAUGUUCUCGAUCGCCGUAGAGAUACGGUUUCCCCUUUGGGGCGGGUUCACAGGUGGUGCAUGGUUGUCGUCAGCUCGUGUCGUGAGAUGUUGGGUUAAGUCCCGCAACGAGCGCAACCCUCGUUCCAUGUUGCCAGCACGUCGUGGUGGGGACUCAUGGGAGACUGCCGGGGUCAACUCGGAGGAAGGUGAGGACGACGUCAAAUCAUCAUGCCCCUUAUGUCUUGGGCUUCACGCAUGCUACAAUGGCCGGUACAAUGGGUUGCGAUACUGUGAGGUGGAGCUAAUCCCAAAAAGCCGGUCUCAGUUCGGAUUGGGGUCUGCAACUCGACCCCAUGAAGUCGGAGUCGCUAGUAAUCGCAGAUCAGCAACGCUGCGGUGAAUACGUUCCCGGGCCUUGUACACACCGCCCGU